UGCAUGGGGCUAAACUUUGAUCCAAAUCAGG
Molecule: non-coding RNA, 31 nt
Filed under: Rattus norvegicus (Norway rat)
Lineage: Eukaryota; Metazoa; Chordata; Mammalia; Rodentia; Muridae
Source: RNAcentral